UGUUGAACAGGCUUUAUGAUGUCUGUGUCCUCCCAGGAGAAAACAUCAGAGAAAGAGAAGAAAGAAGAUCUUGAUAAAGAAUUCAGAAGAUACAUUUUGCUUAUAAAAUGAUCUAGGCCCAAGAACAAGGAAAACAUCUUAUUUCACUAAGCUUGCAGGAUGCGUUUUGAAUUCACUAGAUUCCACUCACCCAACCCAGAAGGCAAACAUUGAGUAUGGCUACAUUCAUAUUUUUUAAAAAUGAGAGAGAUUAAAAAGGAAAGCUGAAAUGAACCUUGGAAGACCAGCUUCCCCCAUUUGACUGUUAGAUAAAUUGACAGCCAGAGAACAACACUGAUUUGUCCAGAGCUGCAACGAAAAUUAGCUAUAGGUCUAUUACUAGGACUUGGGUCUAUAUUCAAUUAUUCAUAGAAAAAAAUAUUUACCGAGCACCUAGAAGGAAUUGACACUAUUCUACCCUUCUACCCUUGAGGUUGGGCUAUCAAUAAUCCCACAAAUAAAUGCAGAGUUAGAACUGUGACAAAUGAGAAGUCACACAACACUAUGAGGACACGGAGUGGUGGCAAGUGGCAAGAGAGGAGACUGGAAAGUGAUGUUGAAAGUAAGUGGACCAUAAAAGAUGCUGUGGAUCAUGUUCAGUCAUUCAUUCGUUUACUCAUUUACUCAUCCAGCAUAUAUGUUGAGUAUCCACCAUGAAAAAAGUAUCUUACUGAGCACGAGAGAUUGAGCGAUGAACAAAACGGUCUCUGUCUUCUUGAGGAUUACAUUCUAGUAGAAGAGAAACAAAGAAAAUAAAGAAAUAUAUAGAAAUAUAAUGUGUCAGAUAGUAACAGGUACCAUGAUGAUAACUGAGGCAGGAACAGGGAGUGGAGGCUGAAGGGAACAGGGAGUGGAGGCUGAAGUAUUAUUUUAGAAAGAAUGACUAGGCAAGCCGCUUUGUUAAGAUGCAUUUUGAGCACAGAGAAGUGAAGAAGAGAGGCAUUCCGAUACAAGAAGGACAGGGCUCCAAGUAGAGGGAGCAGCACAGGCAAAGGUGUGAGCUCAGAACACACUGAGAAUAUUUAAGGAAUAGCAAAGAAGACAAUAUAUGUAGAGCCCAGUCAGCAAAGGGGAAAGAAUCUGGAAAUCUUAGAAGAAGGAGUUUAGGGCUUUGGAGCAUUAUGCAAAGACUGGCCUUGACUGAAUGGGAUGGGAAGUUAUUGCAAUGGUUAGAGCAUAAGAAGAUCUGACUUUUGCUUUAGGAGGGUCUCUGUGGAUAUAGACUAUAUGAGUAGAGUCUCCUGGAAUGUGGACUUGUGGCCAUGGCAGCAAGCUAGAUCCUGCGGAUGGUAGAGGACUGGAGGAUGGGUAGAAUGACAGUGUUUGUUUGUCAUCUGGAGCUAGGGCUGGUCAUUCUCCAUGUCCAGGAGAAACAUGAGGUUGGCUGCAAAGAGAAAGAAGGAGACAGAAGCAUAGAAAAGUGUGGAGAUAAGAAAAGAGUGGCAUGUAUUCAAUGCCUAGUUCUGGUCCCUUCCUGAGUGAGGCCCAGUAGUCUUUCUAAAUUAGGUAACUAAAACAUUCUUCUGUGGCAAUAAUAAACACAACUU
Molecule: long non-coding RNA, 1586 nt
Filed under: Marmota monax (woodchuck)
Lineage: Eukaryota; Metazoa; Chordata; Mammalia; Rodentia; Sciuridae
Source: RNAcentral